ACGGGUGAGUAGUGUCGGGGGAUCUGCCCGAUAGAGGGGGAUAACCACUGGAAACGGUGGCUAAUACCGCAUAACGUCGCAAGACCAAAGAGGGGGACCUUCGGGCCUCUCACUAUCGGAUGAACCCAGAUGGGAUUAUCUAGUACGCGGGGUAAUGGCCCACCUACGCCACUAUCCCUAUCUGGUCUGAGAGGAUGACCAGCCACACUGGAACUGAGACACGGUCCAGACUCCUACGGGAGGCAGCAGUGGGGAAUAUUGCACAAUGGGCGCAAGCCUGAUGCACCCAUGCCGCGUGUAUGAAGAAGGCCUUCGGGUUGUAAAGUACUUUCAGCGGGGAGGAAGGCGAUGGGGUUAAUAACCGUGUCUAUUGACGUUACCCGCAAAAAAAGCACCGGCUAACUCCGUGCCAGCAGCCGCGGUAAUACAGAGGGUGCAAGCGUUAAUCGGAAUUACUGGGCGUAAAGCGCACGCACGCGGUCUGUUAAGUCAGAUGUGAAAUCCCCGGGCUUAACCUGGGAACUGCAUUUGAAACUGGCACGCUUGAGUCUUGUAGAGGGGGGUAGAAUUCCGUGUGUAGCG
This 582-nucleotide ribosomal RNA is filed under the name Pantoea sp. HRTP169. RNAcentral describes it as "bacterial SSU rRNA". It matches the Rfam family "Bacterial small subunit ribosomal RNA", at positions 102 to 680 of the family's 1533-position model. Lineage: Bacteria; Pseudomonadati; Pseudomonadota; Gammaproteobacteria; Enterobacterales; Erwiniaceae. The record is from RNAcentral.